AGGGGUGAAAGGCCAAUCAAACUGGGAAAUAGCUCGUACUCUCCGAAAUGCAUUUAGGUGCAGCCUCUGUUUUUCAGUUACUGAGGUAGAGCUACUGAUUGGAUGCGAGGGCUUCACCGCCUAUCAAAUCCGGCCAAACUCCGAAUGCAGUAACUUUACAGACAGGGAGUGAGCCCGCGGGUGCUAAGGUCCGCGGACGAAAGAGGAAGAACUCAGCCCAUCAGCUAAGGCCCCGAAUUGUAUGCUAAGUUGACAAAACGCGGUGGAACAGCACAGACAGCUAGGAUGUUGGCUUGGAAGCAGCCAUUCAUUUAAAGAGUGCGUAACAGCUCACUAGUCGAGCGGUUCUGCAUGGAUAAUACACGGGCAUAAGCAUACAGCCGAAGCUAUGGACUCAUCGAAAGGUGAGUGGUAGGAGAGCAUUCCAUUUAGCGUUGAAGCAGUAUCGUGAGGUAUUGUGGAGCAGAUGGAAAAGCAAAUGUAGGCAUAAGUAACGAUAAUGCGGGUGAGAACCCCGCACGCCGAAAGGUCAAGGAUUCCCCGGCAAUGUCAAUCAACCGGGGGUAAGUCGGGUCCUAAGUCGAAGCCGAAGGGCGUAGACGAUGGCCAACAGGUUAAUAUUCCUGUACUCAUAUAUGCUGCGAUGCAGGGACGUAGUAGUGACACCGCUGCGUACAGACGAAAUAGUACGUUGAAGCCUUUAUCUGUCGAUGCUGAUAGUUAAGUACGUCAGCAGAGGAGAUGGGUGAUAGUACCGCAAGGCUUCGGCUGCGCGGAUAAUGCGGGUAAUCAGACUACCAAGAAAAUCUGCUAAGCUUCAGGCAUAUAUGACCCGUACUGUAAACGGACACACGUGACCGGGUAGAGAAUACUAAGGCGCUCGAGAUAUUCAUGGCUAAGGAACUAGGCAAAAUGGUCCUGUAACUUCGGGAUAAAGGACGCUGGGGUAAAAUCCAGCCGCAGUAAAAUGGCCCAGGCGACUGUUUACCAAAAACACAUGGCUAUGCUAAAUCGUAAGAUGAUGUAUAUGGCCUGACACCUGCCCGGUGCUGGAAGGUUAAGAGGAGGGUUUAGUAGCAAUACGACGAUCUGAAUUGAAGCCCCAGUAAACGGCGGCCGUAACUAUAACGGUCCUAAGGUAGCGAAAUUCCUUGUCGGGUAAGUUCCGACCUGCACGAAUGGUGUAACGAUCUGGGUACUGUCUCAGCCAUGUUCUCGGUGAAAUUGUAGUUCCGGUGAAGAUGCCGGAUACCCGCAACGGGACGGAAAGACCCCGUGAACCUUUACUGCAGCUUUGCAUUGAUUUUGGGUAAGUGAUGUGUAGGAUAGGUCGGAGGCAUUGAAAUGGCAUCGUCAGGUGUCAUGGAGCCGCUGUUGAAAUACGACCCUUUACUUAUCUGAGGUCUAAUCUCCUUAGUGGAGAGACAUUGCAUGGUGGGUAGUUUGACUGGGGUGGUCGCCUCCAAAAGCGUAACGGAGGCUUCUCAAGGUACCCUCAUGGCGUUUGGUAAUCGCCAGUAGAGUGCAAUGGCAUAAGGGUGCUUGACUGUGAGACCUACAAGUCGAUCAGGUUGGAAACAAGAGCAUAGUGAUCCGGUGGUUCCGCAUGGAAGGGCCAUCGCUCAAAGGAUAAAAGGUACUCCGGGGAUAACAGGCUGAUCGCUCCCAAGAGCUCAUAUCGACGGAGCGGUUUGGCACCUCGAUGUCGGCUCGUCACAUCCUGGGGCUGGAGAAGGUCCCAAGGGUUCGGCUGUUCGCCGAUUAAAGUGGCACGCGAGCUGGGUUCAGAACGUCGUGAGACAGUUCGGUCCCUAUCUGUUGUGGGCGCAGGAUAUUUGCGGAGAUCUGACACUAGUACGAGAGGACCGUGUUGGACGCACCUCUGGUGCAUCAGUUGUGAUGUCAAUUGCAUUGCUGAGUAACUACGUGCGGAAAGGAUAAGCGCUGAAAGCAUCUAAGCGCGAAGCCAACUUCAAGAUGAGAUAUUCUUUU
This 1992-nucleotide ribosomal RNA is filed under the name human gut metagenome. RNAcentral describes it as "bacterial LSU rRNA". It matches the Rfam family "Bacterial large subunit ribosomal RNA", at positions 817 to 2818 of the family's 2925-position model. The record is from RNAcentral.